AGAGGGUGCAAGCGUUAAUCGGAAUUACUGGGCGUAAAGCGUGCGCAGACGGUUAUCUAAGUCGAGUGUGAAAGCCCCGGGCUCAACCUGGGAAUUGCAUUCGAAACUGAAUAGCUAGGGUGCGGAAGAGGGAAGUGGAAUUUCCGGUGUAGCGGUGAAAUGCGUAGAUAUCGGAAGGAACAUCAGUGGCGAAAGCGACUUCCUGGUCCAGCACCGACGUUCAGGCACGAAAGCGUGGGGAGCAAACAGGAUUAGAUACCCUGGUAGUCCACGCCAUAAACGAUGAGAACUAGACGUUGGGGGGGUAAGCCUCUCAGUGUCGCAGCUAACGCGCUAAGUUCUCCGCCUGGGGAGUACGGCCGCAAGGCUA
RNAcentral lists this ribosomal RNA (370 nucleotides) under uncultured bacterium. RNAcentral's name for it is "bacterial SSU rRNA". It matches the Rfam family "Bacterial small subunit ribosomal RNA", at positions 527 to 896 of the family's 1533-position model. The record is from RNAcentral.